GAUGAACGCUGACAGCAUGCUUAACACAUGCAAGUCUACUUGAACUUCGGUUUGUGUGGCGGACGGGUGAGUAACGCGUAAAGAACUUACAUCACAGUUAGGGACAACAUUUGGAAACGAAUGCUAAUACCUGAUAUUAUGAUUUUAGGGCAUCCUAAGAUUAUGAAAGCUAUAUGCGCUGUGAGAGAGCUUUUCGUCCCAUUAGCUAGUUGGAGAGGUAACGGCUCACCAAGGCGAGGAUGGGUAGCGGGCCUGAGAGGGUGAACGGCCACAAGGGGACUGGGACACGGCCCUUACUCCUACGGGAGGCAGCGUUGGGGAAUAUUGGACAAUGGACCAAAAGUCUGAUCCAGCAAUUCUGUGUGCACGAUGACGUUUUUCGGAAUGUAAAGUGCUUUCAGGUGAGAAGAAAAAAAUGACGGUACCAACAGAAGAAGUGACGGCUAAAUACGUG
Molecule: ribosomal RNA, 454 nt
Filed under: uncultured bacterium
Lineage: Bacteria
Description: partial 16S ribosomal RNA
Rfam family: Bacterial small subunit ribosomal RNA
Source: RNAcentral